Molecule: ribosomal RNA, 468 nt
Filed under: uncultured bacterium
Lineage: Bacteria
Description: partial 16S ribosomal RNA
Rfam family: Bacterial small subunit ribosomal RNA
Source: RNAcentral
GACGAACGCUGGCGGCGUGCUUAACACAUGCAAGUCGAACGGAAAGGCCCUGCUUGUGUGGGGUCUUCGAGCGGCGAACGGGUGAGUAACAUGUGAGUAACCUGACUUGGGCUUUGCGAUAACUUCAGGAAACUGGGGCUAAUACCGGAUCGGAGCUCCUGCUGCAUGGUGGGGGUUGGAAAGUUUCGGCGGUUGGGGAUGGACUCGCGGCUUAUCAGCUUGUUGGUGGGGUAGUGGCUUACCAAGGCUUUGACGGGUAGCCGGCCUGGGAGGGUGACCGGCCACAUUGGGACUGGGGUACGGGCCAGACUCCUACGGGGGGCAGCAGUGGGAAAUAUUGCACAAUGGGCGGAAGCCUGAUGCAGCAACGCCGCGUGCGGGAUGACGGCCUUCGGGUUGUAAACCGCUUUCGCCUGUGACGAAGCGUGAGUGACGGUAAUGGGUAAAGAAGCACCGGCUAACUACGUG